CAAGUGCCAUAGUAACUGAUGGCACCUUGACGGUACCUAACCAGAAAGCCACGGCUAACUACGUGCCAGCAGCCGCGGUAAUACGUAGGUGGCAAGCGUUGUCCGGAAUUAUUGGGCGUAAAGCGCUCGCAGGCGGUUCUUUAAGUCUGAUGUGAAAUCUUACGGCUCAACCGUAAACGUGCAUUGGAAACUGGGGAACUUGAGUGCAGAAGAGGAGAGUGGAAUUCCACGUGUAGCGGUGAAAUGCGUAGAGAUGUGGAGGAACACCAGUGGCGAAGGCGACUCUCUGGUCUGUAACUGACGCUGAGGAGCGAAAGCGUGGGGAGCGAACAGGAUUAGAUACCCUGGUAGUCCACGCCGUAAACGAUGAGUGCUAGGUGUUAGGGGGUUUCCGCCCCUUAGUGCUGAAGUUAACGCAUUAAGCACUCCGCCUGGGGAGUACGGCCGCAAGGCUGAAACUCAAAAGAAUUGACGGGGGCCCGCACAAGCGGUGGAGCAUGUGGUUUAAUUCGAAGCAACGCGAAGAACCUUACCAGGUCUUGACAUCCUCUGAACACUCUAGAGAUAGAGUUUUCCCUUCGGGGACAGAGUGACAGGUGGUGCAUGGUUGUCGUCAGCUCGUGUCGUGAGAUGUUGGGUUAAGUCCCGCAACGAGCGCAACCCUUGAUCUUAGUUGCCAGCAUUCAGUUGGGCACUCUAAGGUGACUGCCGGUGACAAACCGGAGGAAGGUGGGGACGACGUCAAAUCAUCAUGCCCCUUAUGACCUGGGCUACACACGUGCUACAAUGGAUGGAACAAAGGGAAGCGAACCCGCGAGGUCAAGCAAAUCCCACAAAACCAUUCU
RNAcentral lists this ribosomal RNA (845 nucleotides) under Oceanobacillus kimchii. RNAcentral describes it as "bacterial SSU rRNA". It matches the Rfam family "Bacterial small subunit ribosomal RNA", at positions 450 to 1288 of the family's 1533-position model. Lineage: Bacteria; Bacillati; Bacillota; Bacilli; Caryophanales; Bacillaceae. The record is from RNAcentral.